CGAACUGGAGCUGGCUGAUUUGUAUGGCGUAGGAGCCCCUGGCCAUAUCCAGUCUGGAUUCCCUGAGUGCUGUAUGGACAUGGACUGGGAACGAAUCAUCUUCAAGCUUUUGCGCCUGUAAAAUGAGAAACACAAUUAAGUCACUAUAAAGGGCCGACGCGUACACCUUUUCCGCCAGGAGUUGGGUCUCCUCCUCAGCCUGACUGAGAGUUACCUUGGGGAAUUGGCGAGGCAUAUCUGCACGUUACAAGAAGCCAGAGAAAAACCCUGACAUAUGCAGUCGGCCUGUUAAACUGCCGCUUCUCUUCUCUUACACCCCACCGACGCCUGAGCGGAGAGGGCACUCUGUGAUUAUGAUUGAAGUUGGGCUGAUGCUGUAAGGAUUCUGCUUCGAGCUACUGGGAGAACUUGAAGGAGUCUACUCAUGCCACUUGAAGGGUUCUUAUGUUUCCAUCCCCACCACGCCACCCCUAAAUAGAUUUUCUGUGUUUGUCUGUGCCCAGAUGGGGUGUUCAGGACCUGGCCAUUUUGUUGUUUUUUGUGGACUGUACACCCUUUGAGACACAAGGGCUCUAUAAAGACACUUUUAAAAUAAAACAAUUCUCCAGGUAUUCUGGCUUCCUCACAUAUUUCAAAAAUAUGCAUAGUACAUAAACAAGUUGCGCCCUACUAGUAUGAGCACUAGUACUUAUAGGGCACAGAGGCCAACGAGUACACAGUUAUUCCUCACUGGUAAAACUUCAUUGUCCUCAAAGUAUACC
Molecule: long non-coding RNA, 761 nt
Organism: Hippocampus zosterae (dwarf seahorse)
Lineage: Eukaryota; Metazoa; Chordata; Actinopteri; Syngnathiformes; Syngnathidae
Exons: 3
Source: RefSeq, a predicted model, not a curated record